GAUGAACGCUAGCGGCAGGCCUAAUACAUGCAAGUCGAGGGACAGCGGUUCGGCCGGCGACCGGCGCACGGGUGCGUAACGCGUAUGGAAGGCGUCCAGAUCUCUGGGAUAGCCCCCGGAAACGGGGAUUAAUACCGGAUGGUCCAACCGGGAGGCAUCUCCUGGUUGGUAAAGCUCCGGCGGAUCUGGGUCCCCAUGCG
RNAcentral lists this ribosomal RNA (200 nucleotides) under uncultured bacterium. RNAcentral describes it as "partial 16S ribosomal RNA". It matches the Rfam family "Bacterial small subunit ribosomal RNA", at positions 28 to 235 of the family's 1533-position model. The record is from RNAcentral.